RNAcentral lists this ribosomal RNA (254 nucleotides) under uncultured bacterium. RNAcentral's name for it is "partial 16S ribosomal RNA". It matches the Rfam family "Bacterial small subunit ribosomal RNA", at positions 524 to 777 of the family's 1533-position model. The record is from RNAcentral.
UACGUAGGGUGCGAGCGUUAAUCGGAAUUACUGGGCGUAAAGCGUGCGCAGGCGGUUUUGUAAGCCAGGUGUGAAAUCCCCGGGCUCAACCUGGGAAUGGCAUUUGGGACUGCAAGGCUGGAGUGCGGCAGAGGAGACUGGAAUUCCUGGUGUAGCAGUGAAAUGCGUAGAUAUCAGGAGGAAUACCGAUGGCGAAGGCAGGUCUCUGGGCUGACACUGACGCUCAUGCACGAAAGCGUGGGGAGCAAACAGGA